This 3027-nucleotide long non-coding RNA is filed under the name Neodiprion pinetum (white pine sawfly). RNAcentral describes it as "uncharacterized LOC124216092". The record is from RNAcentral. Lineage: Eukaryota; Metazoa; Arthropoda; Insecta; Hymenoptera; Diprionidae.
UGUUAAAAAUGAUGUCUUCACACUGUUAGAAAUCUGGCAAAUCGCAUUAGUCCACUUUUCGAGCUGUUUUCAAAUCCCGCUCCAGGUAUGUAUACAUACAUAUACAAUAUACGUGCCGAAUGAGGAAACCCAAGGUACAAUAACGUCCAAGAAGAAGAUGAAGAUUCCGAUACCUACAUAGGAUCUAGCAUACGUUUUAUUGACCCCUGGUCGUAGCUUAGAAAUAAUUUUGUAACGGUCUAAUAUCCACGAUGCAUGUCGUCGAUGUAAAAAUUCCUUCCUCUACGGGUUUGAGGUGAACGAAGAACUGGAUUUAAAAAAAGAAGAAACAAGCCGAGUCUCUGCACAAACACAAAUACGCGUCGGGUCCCUGAAUCCGUGUACCUGUCGUGUCAACCCUCAGUGAACACUAGAGAAAGGAUUCUAGCCGGCAGAAACGGGCUUUUGUCUCUUUGAUCAUACCCUCCUGUGCCUGGAUCGAUUCAUUGUUAACAAUCAAUAACAACUUUGCGCCAACCCAUACCUUCGACAUUCUCCCGCUGGGCACGUAUUGCGACAGACAGAACCGACACAACUUGAUCAGGUCCAUGCCCAUCCUCUUCCUGUUACCUCUCUGUCGUUUUAUCAACUCUCAGUUUAAGCCGCGGUUAGAGCCCUCCGAACCUGUUACAUUUUUAAACUCGAACGGCUGCUCGAUUUUCAACGCGUAUAAAACACAAACAAUUAAUCUCAAACAAUUGCUCGUAUAAAGAAGAUGACAAGUACAACUGCACUACGUGUAAAGUGGUCAAGAAAUUUGUUCAAAAUCGUGUAGCAACGACUUUAAUACGAACACAUACGUAUGCCUGUCUGCAUACGGCAUGUGAAAUUGAGUAAUCGCGGUUGCAUUUGAUUUGAACCGGUAUAAUACAGUGGCUGUGAAGAUUUUCUCCUCGUUAAACCUGCCAGGACUCGAAAUAUCACGCUGUAUAUUUCACUUUUCGUAAUCCUCUUAUUACAGGAGAUUACGGUUAUUACGACGAGUCGAACCAGUUGACAAACUUAGGAAGUGUCGUUCGUCGGAUUAUUAUGCCAGGUAGUGUACGGAUGCAAGUGUGCCUGCACUGGAAGCCACUCCCCGUAAAUUGACAACAGCGGGUCCACCUUCUGUCCGCUUUUAUUCUACCGCACGGGGGAUUUUCAUAUUUCGAACAAUCGAGUACAACGAAGGGAAAAAGAAAACGACGGAAAAAAGAUACAUACUCUAGACGAAUAAAUGUGGGGCCCAUUACACAAUUUGUUGACAAAAAUCAUCACGUUGUAUCGACCGAAAACGACCUUCGUUGGAACCCUGCAAGGAACCCUGCUGAGUUUGCGCGUCAAAAAUGACAAGUGUACAAAAUUGAAACAACGCUAGCAAAGAAUCAAAAUUCGUGGAAUCGAUAUUUUUAAAAAACAAUUUAACGAAUUAAAAGACAUUAAACUUCCUCGUUACUGCCAGAGGAUAUCUCGGUGCAGGAUAAUUAUUGUCGGUAUAACAAGCGCGUAGGGACAUGUGGGAUUUACCUCUAUUGCAAUAGUAAACACGACAGGAAUUGAAUGCCGAAGUAAUCGAAUGAAUCAUUGGAAUUCGUUGCUUAUUUUAUGUAAUACAACGCAGGUGCAUGAGAUGAUUAUAUCCUGUACGUGAAUGGUGUGAAAAUCUGAUAUAAAACGUAAUUUUAUGAUAGAGGACGUCAGAAAAAAAAAUCACACUACCUGCAGACUUUGAAAAUCCGCGAUGAUAGUUUCAGUGAUUUGAACAGACAAAUAAAAGUCUUUAAUAAUGAAUAUAUAUAUUUUUUAUCUAUUAUAUUAAGACUUAUAAUUGAUAUAUACUCUUGUAAGAUAUUUUAAUUACAAUUAUACUACUUUUACAGCGAUAAUUGAACGUACGCAAAUAAUAUACAGUAACAUCAAAGAUAAUUCACUUUCCGAGUACGGGGCACGUUCUUAUCUGACUAUAACUCCAUUCUCGAAUAACAACUGAUAUCAAUAUGAUACAGACUGUCUGUAUUCCAAAGUCUGGAAAACUUUAACUUCAAUAUCUAUACAAAGAGAAUGAGCAGAAAACUUUUGCUAUUAUAAUGUCUGAUAAUCUUUCCUCGCGAUAUUUACACAAGAAUGUCGAAUAUUCUUUAAGCAAACACAAUGAUGAUUUAUUUGCGAUAAUUCUUUUAUCACUGUAUCGUUUCCUAUCUUACGUAUGUAUACCUAUGUAUAAAAUAACACUAUCUAUAAAUUUUACGUUUGUCUCUUCAAUCUUUAAUCACAUUGAAUAUUCAGUUCAGAUUGGGAGUUAUUUUCAAACAUAAGUUUCGAUUUCAAUUAACACCAUGAGCGAUACCCGCAUAUAACAUGCUAGGUACACAUGAAUAACAAUCAAAGCACGACUCAACAAACUGAUUUUGGUGUCAAAUAUCUCGAUAUUGAAUUCUACUCUACUUGACCCCAUUUGUGUUCGACCCCUCGCAUUUUAUUGAUACAUUAUUUGUAUCCAUGUUUUCCGAUAACAUGUAAUAAAAUUUAUAUCGUAUGAGGCGGAGAAAAAAAACGAUUAAUGAAUUUUAAUAAAAUUCUAAUUCGAACUUGAAUUUAGUAUAUUAACACGGUGAUAAUAGGGUAUAUGAUUCAUUAGUGAGUGAAAAUAAAAUAUCGUUUACGUACAUACUAAUAAAUAUGAAAAGGGCGUUAAGAAUGAAUUUUUCUUUUUAUGUGUACAGAAUUAAACAAUGAUAUGGUACAUACAGAUUCUAAGUUCCUAAGUAUCUUUGAAUAUUUGAAUUACAGCAGGUUAACAUAUAUUAUAUUUAUAUAUUAAUAUUCCUAAAACAAUUUUAUUUUUACAGCCCAUGUAAUGUCCACAAGGUAAAAAAAAUAUGCUAAUUAAAUAGAUACAUCAUGUGCUUUGGUUUACGCAUACGAAAAUAGAGCUUGAUUACACAAAUCUUAAACACGGAAGAAAGUAUUCAACUAGAACCCAUAUACCCUAUGACACGUGAAAUACGA